GCGCAUUAUGGUAACAUAGUGUGAUACUUCUUAGAGGGACAUUUCGGGUAUACCGGAAGGAAGUUUGUGGCAAUAACAGGUCUGUGAUGCCCUUGGAUGUUCUGGGCCGCACGCGCGCUACACUGAUGAAUUCAACGAGUUUUUGUUCUAUUUCGGGAUAAUUUCCUUAUCUGAAAGGAUUGGGUAAUCUUGUAAAUGUUCAUCGUGAUGGGGCUAGAUUCUUGCAAUUAUUAAUCUCCAACGAGGAACC
This 250-nucleotide ribosomal RNA is filed under the name Thraustochytrium sp. RNAcentral's name for it is "partial small subunit ribosomal RNA". It matches the Rfam family "Eukaryotic small subunit ribosomal RNA", at positions 1381 to 1610 of the family's 1831-position model. The record is from RNAcentral. Lineage: Eukaryota; Bigyra; Thraustochytrida; Thraustochytriidae.